Molecule: transfer RNA, 64 nt
Filed under: Macridiscus semicancellata
Lineage: Eukaryota; Metazoa; Mollusca; Bivalvia; Venerida; Veneridae
Also listed under: 1 other name
Description: tRNA-Phe
Source: RNAcentral
GUUUUGAUAGUUUAAUAGAAUGUAGCUUUGAAGAAGCUGAGGUGGUCUACGGAAUCUCAAAACA